This 529-nucleotide ribosomal RNA is filed under the name uncultured bacterium. Its description in RNAcentral is "bacterial SSU rRNA". It matches the Rfam family "Bacterial small subunit ribosomal RNA", at positions 981 to 1509 of the family's 1533-position model. The record is from RNAcentral.
UUGACAUACUAAGAACUUUCCAGAGAUGGAUUGGUGCCUUCGGGAACUUAGAUACAGGUGCUGCAUGGCUGUCGUCAGCUCGUGUCGUGAGAUGUUGGGUUAAGUCCCGCAACGAGCGCAACCCUUUUCCUUAUUUGCCAGCGGGUCAUGCCGGGAACUUUAAGGAUACUGCCAGUGACAAACUGGAGGAAGGCGGGGACGACGUCAAGUCAUCAUGGCCCUUACGGCCAGGGCUACACACGUGCUACAAUGGUCGGUACAAAGGGUUGCUAUCUCGCGAGAGGAUGCUAAUCUCAAAAAGCCGAUCGUAGUCCGGAUCGCAGUCUGCAACUCGACUGCGUGAAGUCGGAGUCGCUAGUAAUCGCGGAUCAGAAUGCCGCGGUGAAUACGUUCCCGGGCCUUGUACACACCGCCCGUCACACCAUGGGAGUUUGUUGCACCAGAAGUAGGUAGUCUAACCGCAAGGAGGACGCUUACCACGGUGUGGCCGAUGACUGGGGUGAAGUCGUAACAAGGUAGGCGUAGAUGA